Molecule: ribosomal RNA, 498 nt
Filed under: uncultured bacterium
Lineage: Bacteria
Description: partial 16S ribosomal RNA
Rfam family: Bacterial small subunit ribosomal RNA
Source: RNAcentral
GACGAACGCUGGCGGCGUGCCUAAUACAUGCAAGUCGAGCGGACGGAUGGGAGCUUGCUCCCAGACCGUCAGCGGCGGGCGGGUGAGUAACACGUGGGCAACCUGCCUGUAAGACUGGGAUAACUCCGGGAAACCGGGGCUAAUACCGGAUAACUCUUUCCCUCCCAUGAGGGAAAGCUGAAAGAUGGCAUCUCGCUAUCACUUACAGAUGGGCCCGCGGCGCAUUAGCUAGUUGGUGAGGUAACGGCUAACCAAGGCGACGAUGCGUAGCCGACCUGAGAGGGUGAUCGGCCACACUGGGACUGAGACACGGCCCAGACUCCUACGGGAGGCAGCAGUAGGGAAUCUUCCGCAAUGGACGAAAGUCUGACGGAGCAACGCCGCGUGAGUGAUGAAGGUUUUCGGAUCGUAAAACUCUGUUGUCAGGGAAGAACAAGUACCGGAGCAACUGCCGGUACCUUGACGGUACCUGACCAGAAAGCCACGGCUAACUACGUG